GAUGAACGCUAGCGGCAGGCCUAACACAUGCAAGUCGAGGGGCAGCACAGAAACAGCAAUGUUUUGGUGGCGACCGGCGGACGGGUGCGUAACGCGUAUGCGACCUACCUUUAACAGGGGGAUAACGGAGAGAAAUUUCCACUAAUACCCCAUAACAUCGAUCAAGGCAUCUUGAUUGGUUGAAAACUCCGGUGGUUAAAGAUGGGCAUGCGUUGUAUUAGGUAGUUGGUGAGGUAAUGGCUCACCAAGCCUACGAUACAUAGGGGGACUGAGAGGUUAGCCCCCCACACUGGUACUGAGACACGGACCAGACUCCUACGGGAGGCAGCAGUGAGGAAUACUGGUCAAUGGGGGCAACCCUGAACCAGCCAUGCCGCGUGCAGGAAGACGGCUCUAUGAGUUGUAAACUGCUUUUAAACAGGGAUAAAGCACAGUAUGUAUACUGUGUUGAAGGUACUGUAAGAAUAAGGAUCGGCUAACUCCGUGCCAGCCGCCGCAGUAA
Molecule: ribosomal RNA, 502 nt
Filed under: uncultured bacterium
Lineage: Bacteria
Description: partial 16S ribosomal RNA
Rfam family: Bacterial small subunit ribosomal RNA
Source: RNAcentral